This is a long non-coding RNA of Ylistrum balloti, 559 nucleotides long. RefSeq lists it as uncharacterized. The record is from RefSeq and is a predicted model, not a curated record. The transcript has 2 exons. Lineage: Eukaryota; Metazoa; Mollusca; Bivalvia; Pectinida; Pectinidae.
AUUUUGUGUAUAACGACAGAUUAACUCUCAGGAUGAGCGAGGAAGACGAGAAAUACUUUAAAGACGAAUACGACAAAUACGACGUUGACCAGGAUAAGGUCGUGCAUUCCAGUCACAGCGGUAAGGGUCGGACAAAGAAGGAGGUUGACCAGCAUCAUCACACCGACCCCAGUGGACACACGCGGAAAAAUGUCCAGAAGCUCGUUAAUAAUGCACACAACCAACGAGAUCCUCCGAAACAGUAAUACUUAGGAUGCGUCCAGGUGAACUGACAUACCGGAACAAACAGAGGAUUAAUGGACAAGGAUGUCGGAUUUCGUGCAAAAGCUGAUUGACAGUCUCUUUAAGGUGAUUGGUAUGUCACGUGAAACAUUAAUUUACCAAUAAAAGUUUGCUGAUAUUCUUCAUCAAGGUGGAAGACUGUUAAUCACGUGAACUAAAUUGUUAAUGUGAGGCUGUCCAUGCCGGACGAGAAGCUGGAGAGAUCUCUGGGAUCGUCACAAAAUGAAAAAAAAAUAUUGUACUUACAUUGUUGUUAAAAAGUUUUCUUUGUUGAUAA